AAAGGGUUGCUACACAGCGAUGUGAUGCUAAUCUCAAAAAGCCGAUCGUAGUCCGGAUUGGAGUCUGCAACUCGACUCCAUGAAGUCGGAAUCGCUAGUAAUCGCGGAUCAGAAUGCCGCGGUGAAUACGUUCCCGGGCCUUGUACACACCGCCCGUCACACCAUGGGAGUUUGUUGCACCAGAAGUAGCUAGCCUAACUGCAAAGAGGGCGGUUACCACGGUGUGGCC
Molecule: ribosomal RNA, 229 nt
Filed under: Acinetobacter baumannii OIFC032
Lineage: Bacteria; Pseudomonadati; Pseudomonadota; Gammaproteobacteria; Moraxellales; Moraxellaceae
Description: partial 16S ribosomal RNA
Rfam family: Bacterial small subunit ribosomal RNA
Source: RNAcentral